Molecule: ribosomal RNA, 439 nt
Filed under: Escherichia coli
Lineage: Bacteria; Pseudomonadati; Pseudomonadota; Gammaproteobacteria; Enterobacterales; Enterobacteriaceae
Also listed under: 1 other name
Description: partial 23S ribosomal RNA
Rfam family: Bacterial large subunit ribosomal RNA
Source: RNAcentral
UAACACUAACUGGAGGACCGAACCGACUAAUGUUGAAAAAUUAGCGGAUGACUUGUGGCUGGGGGUGAAAGGCCAAUCAAACCGGGAGAUAGCUGGUUCUCCCCGAAAGCUAUUUAGGUAGCGCCUCGUGAAUUCAUCUCCGGGGGUAGAGCACUGUUUCGGCAAGGGGGUCAUCCCGACUUACCAACCCGAUGCAAACUGCGAAUACCGGAGAAUGUUAUCACGGGAGACACACGGCGGGUGCUAACGUCCGUCGUGAAGAGGGAAACAACCCAGACCGCCAGCUAAGGUCCCAAAGUCAUGGUUAAGUGGGAAACGAUGUGGGAAGGCCCAGACAGCCAGGAUGUUGGCUUAGAAGCAGCCAUCAUUUAAAGAAAGCGUAAUAGCUCACUGGUCGAGUCGGCCUGCGCGGAAGAUGUAACGGGGCUAAACCAUGCAC